RNAcentral lists this ribosomal RNA (433 nucleotides) under uncultured bacterium. RNAcentral describes it as "partial 16S ribosomal RNA". It matches the Rfam family "Bacterial small subunit ribosomal RNA", at positions 29 to 507 of the family's 1533-position model. The record is from RNAcentral.
AACGAACGCUGGCGGCAUGCCUAACACAUGCAAGUCGAACGAGACCUUCGGGUCUAGUGGCGCACGGGUGCGUAACGCGUGGGAAUCUGCCCUUGGGUUCGGAAUAACAGUUGGAAACGACUGCUAAUACCGGAUGAUGACGUAAGUCCAAAGAUUUAUCGCCCCAGGAUGAGCCCGCGUAGGAUUAGCUAGUUGGUGAGGUAAAGGCUCACCAAGGCGACGAUCCUUAGCUGGUCUGAGAGGAUGAUCAGCCACACUGGGACUGAGACACGGCCCAGACUCGUACGGGAGGCAGCAGUGGGGAAUAUUGGACAAUGGGCGAAAGCCUGAUCCAGCAAUGCCGCGGGAGUGAUGAAGGCCUUAGGGUUGUAAAGCUCUUUUACCCGGGAUGAUAAUGACAGUACCGGGAGAAUAAGCUCCGGCUAACUCCGUG